This 253-nucleotide ribosomal RNA is filed under the name uncultured bacterium. RNAcentral's name for it is "partial 16S ribosomal RNA". It matches the Rfam family "Bacterial small subunit ribosomal RNA", at positions 524 to 776 of the family's 1533-position model. The record is from RNAcentral.
UACGGGGGGGGUAAGCGUUGUUCGGAAUUACUGGGCGUAAAGGGCUCGUAGGCGGCCAACUAAGUCAGACGUGAAAUCCCUCAGCUUAACUGGGGAACUGCGUCUGAUACUGGAUGGCUUGGAUUCGGGAGAGGAAUGCGGAAUUCCAGGUGUAGCGGUGAAAUGCUUAGAUAUCGGGAGGAACACCAGUGGCGAAGGCGGUACGCUGGGCCGGAACUGACGCUGAAGAACGAAAGCGUGGGUAGCAAACAGG